This 90-nucleotide transfer RNA is filed under the name Candidatus Saccharimonadota bacterium. RNAcentral's name for it is "tRNA-Ser". It matches the Rfam family "tRNA". From Rfam's summary of the family: Transfer RNA (tRNA) molecules are approximately 80 nucleotides in length. Their secondary structure includes four short double-helical elements and three loops (D, anti-codon, and T loops). The record is from RNAcentral. Lineage: Bacteria; Candidatus Saccharimonadota.
GGAAGUGUGGCCGAGUGGUUUAAGGCGCACGCUUGGAAAGCGUGUGUAUAGGCAACUGUACCGGAGGUUCGAAUCCUCUCGCUUCCGCCA